This 320-nucleotide long non-coding RNA is filed under the name Medicago truncatula (barrel medic). Its description in RNAcentral is "long non-coding RNA (MTRU_LNC002504)". The record is from RNAcentral. Lineage: Eukaryota; Viridiplantae; Streptophyta; Magnoliopsida; Fabales; Fabaceae.
GGUCCUACUCCACAAAAUCCAACUGCUCUUGGAGUUAUUAGAGUUCCAAAUCCAAAUUACGGGUCAUCCGCUUCUACUCAACCCCAAUACAUGGAGUUUAUCCCAACUCCAGGAUUUCCAAAGCAUUGAUGCUUGUUUAAAUUAUGCUUUUGGACUAGUUUAAUUAAUGUUUUUUGGACUUGUAGUUUAUGCUUUUUUGGAUAUGUAAUCACUUAAGAACAUCAAAUGAUUUGAUGACUUGAUGACUAUGUAAUGUUAUUUUUUUGGCUAUGUAAUGACUUAUGAACAUCAAAUAUAUGACUUAUGAUGGUAUGCAAAUG